UACUCAGCCCUGCUGAAGAACGAGCUGCUGGGAGCCGGCAUCGAGAAGGUGCAGGACCCGCAGACCGAGGACCGGAGGCUGCAGCCCUCCACGCCAGAAAAGAAGGGCCUCUUCACGUAUUCCCUCAGCACCAAGCGCUCGAGCCCCGAUGAUGGCAACGACGUGUCUCCGUACUCCUUGUCCCCUGUCAGCAACAAAAGUCAGAAGUUACUACGGUCCCCACGGAAACCCACCCGCAAGAUCUCGAAAAUCCCCUUCAAGGUCCUGGACGCACCUGAGCUGCAGGAUGACUUCUACCUGAACCUGGUGGACUGGUCGUCCCUCAACGUGCUCAGUGUGGGGCUGGGGACCUGUGUGUACCUG
Molecule: long non-coding RNA, 363 nt
Organism: Galeopterus variegatus (Sunda flying lemur)
Lineage: Eukaryota; Metazoa; Chordata; Mammalia; Dermoptera; Cynocephalidae
Exons: 3
Source: RefSeq, a predicted model, not a curated record